AAAGGUCCGUAACAAGGUCUCCGUUGGUGAACCAGCGGAGGGAUCAUUACUGAGUACUACACUCUCUACCCUUUGUGAACUAUUAUACCUGUUGCUUCGGCGGCGCCCGCAAGGGUGCCCGCCGGUCUCAUCAGAAUCUCUGUUUUCGAACCCGACGAUACUUCUGAGUGUUCUUAGCGAACUGUCAAAACUUUUAACAACGGAUCUCUUGGCUCCAGCAUCGAUGAAGAACGCAGCGAAACGCGAUAUGUAAUGUGAAUUGCAGAAUUCAGUGAAUCAUCGAAUCUUUGAACGCACAUGGCGCCUUCCAGUAUCCUGGGAGGCAUGCCUGUCCGAGCGUCGUUUCAACCCUCGAGCCCCUGUGGCCCGGCGUUGGGGAUCUGCCACGGCAGGCCCCUAAAACCAGUGGCGGACCCGAAGGGCCCUCUCCUUUGCGCAGUAGCAUUCGCCUCGCAUUGGGAGUCCUCGGCGUCCUGCCUCUAAACCCCCCACAAGUCCGCUUCGGCGGCACCAAGGUUGACCUCGGAUCAGGUAGGAAUACCCGCUGAACUUAAGCAUAUCAAUAA
Molecule: ribosomal RNA, 566 nt
Filed under: Plectosphaerella cucumerina
Lineage: Eukaryota; Fungi; Ascomycota; Sordariomycetes; Glomerellales; Plectosphaerellaceae
Description: eukaryotic LSU rRNA
Rfam family: 5.8S ribosomal RNA (bases 189-342)
Source: RNAcentral